This 213-nucleotide long non-coding RNA is filed under the name Vigna radiata. Its description in RNAcentral is "long non-coding RNA (VRAD_LNC010232)". The record is from RNAcentral. Lineage: Eukaryota; Viridiplantae; Streptophyta; Magnoliopsida; Fabales; Fabaceae.
AUCGUCUUUACCUUUUCUCUCCGUUGCUCUGCAUUUCCAAGUAAGUUUCCUCUCCUUUUAACUAUUUAAAGUUGUUUUUACUCUGAUUAAAGUAAUCUUUGAUACAUUAUCUCUCCUUUGAACUUAUUGAAAUGAGUUUUCGUUGUGUUUUGGUGCGGUUUUUUUGUUGUGUCUUUGUGUAGCGUAGUGCAUCUUCUCCCUUUGCUUGUUUCA